AAAAAAAAGUCGGAUGCCAUUACAGAAGCUAUUACUAGUGGAACAAAUCAAGUCAAUCAGUUGGUUGCUCCAGCAGUUACAGAUGAUGUUGUCAGAGGAAAAAGGCAGGCUGAUCAGUUGGUUACUCUAGUCAUUACAGAUGCUGUUGUCAGAGGAGAAAGGCAAGCUAAUCAGUUGGUUACUCCAGUCAUUACAGAAGCUAUUGGAAAUAGAAGAACACGACAAACCAGUCAGCCGGUUGCCCCAGUCAUUUUAGAAGCUAUUGGCAACAGGACAACCUAGGUCAAUCAGUUUGUUGCUCCAGUCGUUACAUUGCCAAGACAACAAUUACAAAACAAUAUUCAACAGAAGCUUAGCAAGAUAACUCUGCCCACAAGCCAGGCCAGCGUCCCGAUUGGUGCUACUGGCCCAAUGGUUGUAUUGAAGCUAGAAAUCAGGAAUGCAAAUGAGUCUUCCCAUGCUAUGUCGAGUGCUGCUUACAGGAGGGCACUGUUAAUCAAGCAGCAAGAGAAGCUUCUACAACAGUAUAAGUUGGUGAAUUCGCAAGCGUAGCUUCACAUCAAGGGUCCUGCUCUGUUUGAGGAUGAUGAAGCGCCAGAGACAGAGCCACGGGGAACAAGGUGCGCGCUCUGCAAGCUCGACCUUGCAUUUGAGGCUCAUGGGGGCGCCACCCACGAUGCCUCUGCUCCCCCUAUCAUCGCUGUCCUUAGAUGCCACCAUACAUUCCACAGCAGCUGCAUCAAGGACGUCUACGGCCUCGCCGAGCCUGCCCAGUGUAUUGCGUGCCUCGACAGCGAGACAACACACUGA
RNAcentral lists this ribosomal RNA (810 nucleotides) under Triticum aestivum (bread wheat). RNAcentral's name for it is "partial small subunit ribosomal RNA". Lineage: Eukaryota; Viridiplantae; Streptophyta; Magnoliopsida; Poales; Poaceae. The record is from RNAcentral.